CACACAACCCUGACGAUACUCACUGGCAUCUUUUUACCGACGGUGAUGCUGAAGUGGAGAAAUGGAAGCAGCAGUACAGUGCGGAACAAGUUUCUAGAGUCUGGGUCACCCGCAAAGGGACCCCUUGAGGGGUGUAAAUAGAGGUGAGGGGCCUCUGGCACAUUCAGAAGAGUGCCCAUCUUUGAAGAUGAAUAAAGACACCUUCAACCACACUCUGCUGCCUGCUUGGAUUCUUUGAGCUGCAUUUCUAACAAUUUGGUGCAUUGGCUGGGAAUCUGAAGAGGAAGAUUGGUCAGGCAGAGAUUCAGGGGUCCAGAAGGAGCUCCCCACUGAUUUCAGCAGCUGACCUGGGGAUCUGCAGCCAGUUCAUCUCUGAGGGAACCUGAAGAAGUGAAAGCAGUGUAUCAGUGAACGCACAAGGCGGAGCAAGGGAAGAAAGGGCAGGAGGAAGGAGAGAAGGGACUGAACCACGGCAAUCGAGCAAUUUUGUGCACAGACCCUGGAUUAAGGGUCUUCUCACUCAGACCCCUCCUCUGGAGUUCAUGGUCCACAAAAUCCGACCAGGUGACUGGGUCCUCAUCAAAUCCUGGAAAGAGACUAAGCUUACUCCGUUUUGGGAAGGACCCUUCCAGGUAUUGCUGACCACUGAGACUACCAUUUGAAUAGCUGAGAAGGAGUGGACUCAUUAUACUCAAGUGAAAGGACCUGUGAGUUGCCCUCCGGACUCUGAAGAACUGGGACUUUAAGAAGAAAUCAGAUGUAAUGGGGAUUUUGUGGGUGGGGGUUGUGAGUAGACUGGUAAAAGAAAUUUUAGGCAUCUGAUUGACUUACCACCUGUGAAGGGAAUACAUGAAGAAAGACUUCAUGGGGACUUGGGAGAAGUGAGACCCAAAAGAAGUUUAGAUACCAGCCUUAUUAGCACUGGGGAUGCCAAUGGAAGGGGAAACAAGUGGCCAUCUGAAAGGAUAAUUAGAGCAUACAGGGGGCAGCUAGGUGGCUCAGUAGAUAAAACACUGGCCCUGGAUUCAGGAGUACCUGAGUUCAAAUCCGACCUCAGACACUUGACACUUAACUAGCUGUGUGACCCUGGGCAAGUCACUUAACCCUCAUUGCCCUGCAAAAAAAAAGAAAAAGAAAAAAAGAACAUACGGGCCUGCCACUUGGGUCUGAGAUGGUAGUUAGGGAUACCAAACUCCCAUAUGUAUAUUAAAUAGGUUGAUUAGGCUGCAAGCAGUGGUGGGAAUGGUUACAAAUCAGACAGCCCAGGCCUUAGACCUCCUGGCAGAGCAAGCUACAGAGACUAGGGAGACCUUUUACCAGCACUGCCUGGCUCUGGACUAUUUGUUAGCAAAAGAAGGGGGAGUCUGUGGAAAAUUGAACUUAAUCACCUGCUGCUUGAAGAUAGACAACAAUGGAAAGAUAAUAAGAGGGAUAACAACUAACAUUACAAAAAUAGCUCAUGUGCUGGUGCCAAGGUGGGACUCAGUCUUUGAGAAUGGUUGGAUGUCAUGGUUUGAUGGAAACAACUGGGGUUCUUCUUAAUAUAUGUUAUAGCUGGUCUGCUAUUCAUACCUUGUUUAAUAUCCUGUUUUAUAAACCUUAUCCCCAGGGUUGUGGAGGGAGUGCAAGUGGUAGCUUUACCUGAAGGGAAAAGAGGAUAUCAAAUGAUGGUAUUAUGAAAAGACACAGACCCUGGGUUGGACAAUUUGGAUUUGGAAGUAGAUGAAUUAUAUAGACAAUGGAAUGAGAAGAGUCCACACAUAAUAAAAUAAAAAGAGGCAGGAUUGAGAGAAAAGACCAUAUCUGGACUCUUCUCAGAGCCCUAAAGGCAGAGAGUGCGUCCGGUUUCAGGCCCUACAGCUUUGUUGCCCAAACCUCCCAGUAGGGGGCCACCCAGCCCAUGGGGCUCUGGGGAGCUGAGGCUCCUGGGCUUUGGGUCUGAGCAGGGCCUGGAGAGUGGCCUAGGUUUUAUGGGAGUUGGGCUGGGCUGGGAGUUCACCUUGAGGUGCCCAAGGUGAUCUCCACAUGACCCCGAUGUUCAAACCCCGACUUAAGUUUAAGUUGUGUGUCUUGACAAGUUAUGUAUGGUUCUGUGUGUCCACACAGCACUGUUCUAGUGAGGAAUGGGGCCAUUCUUGUCCAGAAUAAGGUUAAAGCCUAGUGCUGCAAUCUGGUUGGUCAAAUGGUAUCACCUGAUGGGUUCUUGGGCUGUUACUGUUAUUCUGUAUAAAUAGCAACUGUAAUAACUGAAAUAACUGAAAUGUAAAUAGGGUGAUAGUAAAAUACCUUAAUGUGAUU
Long non-coding RNA from Dromiciops gliroides (monito del monte), 2298 nucleotides. RefSeq lists it as uncharacterized. NCBI's taxonomy places the organism in Eukaryota, Metazoa, Chordata, Mammalia, Microbiotheria, Microbiotheriidae. The transcript has 3 exons. The record is from RefSeq and is a predicted model, not a curated record.